This 779-nucleotide ribosomal RNA is filed under the name uncultured Neocallimastigales. Its description in RNAcentral is "partial large subunit ribosomal RNA". It matches the Rfam family "Eukaryotic large subunit ribosomal RNA", at positions 22 to 623 of the family's 3401-position model. Lineage: Eukaryota; Fungi; Neocallimastigomycota; Neocallimastigomycetes; Neocallimastigales. The record is from RNAcentral.
GCGUCUAUAUACGUAUAGCAUAUCAAUAAGCGGAGGAAAAGAAACUAACUAGGAUUCCCUUAGUAACGGCGAGUGAAGCGGGAAGAGCUCAAAUUUGAAAUCUUCAAGGUUCUACCUUGACGAAUUGUAGUUUAAAGAAGUGUUUUCUGUUGGAAUUUUGGUAAAAGUUCUUUGGAAAUAGGACAUCAUAAGAGGGUGAGAAUCCCGUAUUUGACCAUUAUUUCCAGCUUUGUGAUACACUUUCAAAGAGUCGGAUUGUUUGGGAAUGCAGUCCAAAAUGGGUGGUAAAUUUCAUCUAAAGCUAAAUAUUGGCGAGAGACCGAUAGCGAACAAGUACCGUGAGGGAAAGAUGAAAAGAACUUUGAAAAGAGAGUUAAACAGUACGUGAAAUUGUCAAAAGGGAAGCGUUUGACACCAGUGUUGUUUCGUCGAAAAUCAAUUAAAUAAUGCUGAUUUUAAGUUAGUAUUGACUUUAUCAGCUUGCUGCCUUUUUUCCUGUAACUUAUUUAAUGCACUUUUCAGUUAACAAGUCAACAUCAAUUUCUUUUGUUGUUAAAGAGUCAUUGGAAGGUGGCUUUCUUUUCGGAGAAAGUGUUUAUAGCCUUUGACUUCUGCAAUCGGAGAGAUUGAGGUCUGCAGCGUAGAUCCUUCGGGGUUAGAUGCAUUUGUGCUAAGCUAUAGCCUUUCAUAGACAACUUGUUGACUAUGAUCAGUCAUGUAGCUUACUCGCUUAUGUCUAUUUUACCUACGCUUAGGAUGUUGAUCUGUAGUGCGUGCGC